GCCUCCUCACUCUCUAACUUGAAUAUUUUAUUCUUAAUUCUCUUCUUCCUCUCUACACACCCAAAUCUCUUCUCCCCCACUCUCUGUCUCUCUAUGUAUAAAAUAUAAUAUGUGUGUGUAAGUAGCUACAUAUACGUGGCCAUGGAGAUUAUUUGGAGUUUGAUGAUGCAAGAGAGAAAGUAAUGGGUGAGUAACACUUGAUGGAGAAGCAGGGCACGUGCGAACACAAAUGAAAUCGAUCGGUACUUGUUGAUCAUAUUUUCGCGCGUGUU
Molecule: non-coding RNA, 272 nt
Filed under: Arabidopsis thaliana (thale cress)
Lineage: Eukaryota; Viridiplantae; Streptophyta; Magnoliopsida; Brassicales; Brassicaceae
Source: RNAcentral